GGCACUGAUGGAAAGAAAGGCGACAAAGGGGAGCCGGGAAAACCUGGACCUCCGGGAGCACAAACUGUGACCGAUAACAACAUCCUGACCAGAGUGAUUAAGG
Molecule: long non-coding RNA, 103 nt
Organism: Cynoglossus semilaevis (tongue sole)
Lineage: Eukaryota; Metazoa; Chordata; Actinopteri; Pleuronectiformes; Cynoglossidae
Exons: 3
Source: RefSeq, a predicted model, not a curated record